UACGUAGGGGGCUAGCGUUAUCCGGAAUUACUGGGCGUAAAGGGUGCGUAGGUGGUUUAUUAAGUCUGGUGUAAAAGGCAGUGGCUCAAACAUUGUAUGCAUUGGAAACUGGUAGACUUGAGUGCAGGAGAGGAGAGUGGAAUUCCAUGUGUAGCGGUGAAAUGCGUAGAUAUAUGGAGGAACACCGGUGGCGAAAGCGGCUCUCUGGCCUGUAACUGACACUGAGGCUCGAAAGCGUGGGGAGCAAACAGG
This 252-nucleotide ribosomal RNA is filed under the name uncultured bacterium. RNAcentral describes it as "partial 16S ribosomal RNA". It matches the Rfam family "Bacterial small subunit ribosomal RNA", at positions 524 to 776 of the family's 1533-position model. The record is from RNAcentral.